RNAcentral lists this ribosomal RNA (253 nucleotides) under uncultured bacterium. RNAcentral's name for it is "partial 16S ribosomal RNA". It matches the Rfam family "Bacterial small subunit ribosomal RNA", at positions 524 to 776 of the family's 1533-position model. The record is from RNAcentral.
GACAGAGGGGGCGAACGUUGUUCGGAAUUACUGGGCGUAAAGCGCAUGUAGGCGGCAGCGCAAGUCGGGCGUGAAAUCCCACGGCUCAACCGUGGAAGUGCACUCGAAACUGCGCAGCUAGAGUCCUGGAGAGGAAGGUGGAAUGCGUGGUGUAGAGGUGAAAUUCGUAGAUAUCAAGCGGAACACCGGUGGCGAAGGCGGCCUUCUGGACAGUGACUGACGCUGAGAUGCGAAAGCGUGGGGAGCAAACAGG